ANAAGGCCUUCCUUCUCACUGUCAAAGAACGAACUAACGCACUCAGUCUUCCGAGUGGGCAGUGAUCAAUAGCACUUUAACUUUUACUUCCUACAUCCCUAAAGCGUUAUUCAGCACUGCACACUACAUCCUAAAUCCCUUCUCUACCGCUUCCCCAGCGACCAGCCCGCGCUCUUUGCGGGCCUUCCAUCCCUGUGGUGGAGCUGACCGGUCUCGAACCGGUGACCCCCUGCUUGCAAAGCAGGUGCUCUCCCAACUGAGCUACAGCCCCAUUUGGUGGGCCCAAGUGGACUCGAACCACUGACCUCACGAUUAUCAGUCGUGUGCUCUAGCCAGCUGAGCUAUAGGCCCAAUUCCUUACNNGGUNGGCGUGA
RNAcentral lists this transfer RNA (374 nucleotides) under Acidithiobacillus ferrooxidans. RNAcentral describes it as "partial 16S ribosomal RNA". Lineage: Bacteria; Pseudomonadati; Pseudomonadota; Acidithiobacillia; Acidithiobacillales; Acidithiobacillaceae. The record is from RNAcentral.